RNAcentral lists this ribosomal RNA (370 nucleotides) under uncultured bacterium. RNAcentral's name for it is "bacterial SSU rRNA". It matches the Rfam family "Bacterial small subunit ribosomal RNA", at positions 525 to 896 of the family's 1533-position model. The record is from RNAcentral.
ACGUAGGGGGCAAGCGUUGUCCGGAUUCACUGGGUGUAAAGGGCGCGCAGGCGGGUUAGCAAGUCAGAGGUGAAAUCCUACAGCUUAACUGUAGAACUGCCUUUGAUACUGUUAAUCUUGAGUUCGGAAGAGAGAGACGGAAUUCCAGGUGUAGUGGUGAAAUACGUAGAUAUCUGGAAGAACACCAGUUGCGAAGGCGGUCUCUUGGUCCGAUACUGACGCUCAGGCGCGAAAGCGUGGGUAGCAAACAGGAUUAGAUACCCUGGUAGUCCACGCUGUAAACUAUGAAUACUAGGUGUUGGUCCCAUUGGGAUCAGUGCCGCAGCUAACGCAUUAAGUAUUCCACCUGGGGAGUACGAUCGCAAGGUUG